CACAUUCCCACAGCUCUUUGCUUCUGGAAAACUGUUUACAGUGGAAGAAGUAAGAUACCAGUAAGAUACAAUUACUGUGGAGGCUGCCCCAUAGAGUAGCAAUUAUGUUCCCAGCUUUGGGCAUUUUCCUCUGUGGUUCAGAAAUCUGGAAUUUCAUCUUCUAAAAACACGUUUUGAAAUUUGACAGAUGACAUGAGAUGUCAAGGAGGAAAGAGAAAGGAGCCCGUAUUUUUUUAAAGCUUUUUUCACACAAGACACAGGAUAUUAUAGAUCGGGACUGUGGCUAUCCAAAGCUAUGUGCAAACUGAAAUUAUAAGGAAGCAGAAAAGCUAUGAAGAGGUGGAGAGAGGAAAGGAGAGAUAUACACAGAAAUGGAGCUGAAGAAAGGCAAAUGAAAAGAGAAAGAAGAGUUUGCACAGUACCUCAGUUCUUCAACUGAGCAUCCUUAUAUUCAACUUCCUUUUCCCCCAGAGGAGAUAACUGCAGUGGCUUUUUAUUACUUGAAAACAAAAGGACAAAACCCUAACAAGUGGUUCCUGGUCCAGAAGACUCAGGAAGGACUAUUGUGCAGAGAUGCUACCUGGUGUAUGUCUGGAAGACAGCAGAUUGUGGAUCCCAGUUUGAAUGGUUUCUUGAUAAAUAAUGAGGCACAGGAAGUACAACAGACACCAAACAAAGGCAAGAGAGACACAUCUAUGAAGAUCAGCUGCACAUAAUGUGUAUUUUAAAUCAAUCAGGCAUCUCCAUGGAUUUGAUAACAAAUAAAGAAAAUGACAUAUUAGUUCUAUGAAGAAAGCAGCCACUUCUAAU
Molecule: long non-coding RNA, 810 nt
Filed under: Pan paniscus (pygmy chimpanzee)
Lineage: Eukaryota; Metazoa; Chordata; Mammalia; Primates; Hominidae
Description: lncRNA (ENSPPAG00000045136.1)
Source: RNAcentral